Molecule: ribosomal RNA, 372 nt
Filed under: uncultured bacterium
Lineage: Bacteria
Description: bacterial SSU rRNA
Rfam family: Bacterial small subunit ribosomal RNA
Source: RNAcentral
AUACGUAGGGGGCGAGCGUUGUCCGGAUUUACUGGGCGUAAAGGGUGAGUAGGCGGUUGUAUAUGUCAGGUGUAAAAGGCACAGGCUUAACUUGUGUUAGCACUUGAAACUGUACGACUUGAGUGCAGGAGAGGUAAGCGGAAUUCCUAGUGUAGCGGUGAAAUGCGUAGAUAUUAGGAGGAACACCAGUGGCGAAGGCGGCUUACUGGACUGUAACUGACGCUGAGUCACGAAAGCGUGGGUAGCAAACAGGAUUAGAUACCCUGGUAGUCCACGCUGUAAACGAUGAGUGCUAGGUGUUGGGUAGCGAUACUCAGUGCCGCAGUAAACACAAUAAGCACUCCGCCUGGGGAGUACGGUCGCAAGACUGAA